UAGGGAAUCUUCCACAAUGGGUGCAAACCUGAUGGAGCAAUGCCGCGUGAGUGAAGAAGGUCUUCGGAUCGUAAAGCUCUGUUGUUAGAGAAGAACACGUGCUAGGUAACUACUAGCGCCUUGACGGUAUCUAACCAGAAAGUCACGGCUAACUACGUGCCAGCAGCCGCGGUAAUACGUAGGUGACAAGCGUUGUCCGGAUUUAUUGGGCGUAAAGGGAGCGCAGGCGGUCUGUUUAGUCUAAUGUGAAAGCCCACGGCUUAACCGUGGAAACGGCAUUGGAAACUGACAGACUUGAAUGUAGAAGAGGAAAAUGGAAUUCCAAGUGUAGCGGUGGAAUGCGUAGAUAUUUGGAGGAACACCAGUGGCGAAGGCGAUUUUCUGGUCUAACAUUGACGCUGAGGCUCGAAAGCGUGAGGAGCGAACAGGAUUAGAUACCCUGGUAGUCCACGCCGUAAACGAUGAGUGCUAAGUGUUGGGGGCUUUCCGGCCCUCGGUGCUGGAGCUAACGUAUUAAGCACUCCGCCUGGGGAUUACGACCGCAAGGUUG
This 550-nucleotide ribosomal RNA is filed under the name uncultured bacterium. RNAcentral describes it as "bacterial SSU rRNA". It matches the Rfam family "Bacterial small subunit ribosomal RNA", at positions 355 to 896 of the family's 1533-position model. The record is from RNAcentral.